UGAUGGAGGUUGAGAAGUCCAACUUCAAGGCACCACAUCUGGUGAGAGCCUUCAUUCCGAUGACAGCCUUCAUGCUGGUGGCAAUAGCUAAUACAUUUGCCUUUAAAUUUGUUUGACAAACACCACCCUGGAAGUAGCCUCAACUCUGGGGAAGCUCCAAGACAGGUAAAAUACAGGUAAGCCCUUGAGCAGAUCCUUCAGGAAGCUACCAUAUGGGUCAAAACACAGAACCACAAUUCUUUAAUUCUUUGAGAAUAAGGUCUGUAUUGUUCCCUCUGUUACCAGCAACCUGCAGCAGGAAAAUGGGCUUCAGUUUUCAAGUCUGCAGCUGAGUUGGGAAGUUGCGGACAGUAACCAGAGGAAAGGCCACAUGGGGACAAGAGAGGGCAACUGUCUACAAAUCUGGAAGAGAGACUUCAGAAGAAACCAGCACUGAUGGCAUCUGAUCUUGGACUUCCAGCCUCUGGAUCUUUUCUGUGUCAUUUCCAGAUCUGCCAGAGCCUGAUCUCAUACACACUGAUGUGGUACAGGAAAUGCCACCUGAAAAUAUGGUACCUUGGCAUUUGAGGAAACAGUAGAAGGAGGUCAUAGAAACUAGAAAGAAUUCCUCCUUGCUCUUUGUCCCCCAAAGGAGCCAUAAAACCUGGGCCGAGUUUCUUCUGAAAAUAAGUUAUAAGAUCCUUAUUCCAGAGGGGUCCUGCCCUGUGCCUGGAGGAAAAGAAUGAAGACACAGAGAUGCCUUGAAGAAUCUGAACAAACAGCCCUUGCUAAGUUCCCCCCAGUUUAUUGACAUUAGAUUAGACCUUUUGUCCUCCAAUUAUACUUCUGUGUUCCUGAAAAUACACAUUUUCCCGUUUUUUCUUUUGUUUGCUUUUUUUGAUCUUCAUUUCUGAAGAUUCCCAUGUCAUGUAAAAUAUAUGUUAAACAAAU
This 930-nucleotide long non-coding RNA is filed under the name Homo sapiens (human). Its description in RNAcentral is "HSALNT0198967". The record is from RNAcentral. Lineage: Eukaryota; Metazoa; Chordata; Mammalia; Primates; Hominidae.